GUGUCAGCAGCCGCGGUAAUACGUAGGGGGCAAGCGUUGUCCGGAUUUAUUGGGCGUAAAGAGCGUGUAGGCGGCCUGACAAGUCUGCUGUGAAAACUCGAGGCUCAACCUCGAGAUGUCGGCGGAAACUGUCUGGCUAGAGUCCGGAAGAGGAGAGUGGAAUUCCUGGUGUAGCGGUGAAAUGCGCAGAUAUCAGGAAGAACACCUAUGGCGAAGGCAGCUCUCUGGGACGGUACUGACGCUGAGACGCGAAAGCGUGGGGAGCGAACAGGAUUAGAUACCCCGGUAGUCC
This 292-nucleotide ribosomal RNA is filed under the name uncultured bacterium. Its description in RNAcentral is "partial 16S ribosomal RNA". It matches the Rfam family "Bacterial small subunit ribosomal RNA", at positions 505 to 796 of the family's 1533-position model. The record is from RNAcentral.